Molecule: ribosomal RNA, 253 nt
Filed under: uncultured bacterium
Lineage: Bacteria
Description: partial 16S ribosomal RNA
Rfam family: Bacterial small subunit ribosomal RNA
Source: RNAcentral
AACGUAGGAGGCGAGCGUUAUCCGGAGUUACUGGGCGUACAGGGAGCGUAGGCGGUUGGAUAAGCCCUCCGUGAAAUCUCCAGGCUUAACCUGGAAAGUGCAGAGGGGACUGUUCAGCUAGAGGAUGGGAGAGGAGCGCGGAAUUCCCGGUGUAGCGGUGAAAUGCGUAGAGAUCGGGAGGAAGGCCGGUGGCGAAGGCGGCGCUCUGGAACAUUUCUGACGCUGAGGCUCGAAAGCGUGGGGAGCAAACAGG